This 660-nucleotide ribosomal RNA is filed under the name uncultured Chloroflexota bacterium. RNAcentral's name for it is "bacterial SSU rRNA". It matches the Rfam family "Bacterial small subunit ribosomal RNA", at positions 259 to 933 of the family's 1533-position model. The record is from RNAcentral. Lineage: Bacteria; Bacillati; Chloroflexota.
AACGGCUUACCACGGCAGCGACUGAUAGCUUGGUCUGAGAGGACGACCAGCCACACGGGGACUGAGACGCGGCCCGGACUCCUACGGGAGGCAGCAGCAAGGAAUCUUGGGCAAUGGGCGAAAGCCUGACCCAGCAACGCCGCGUGAGGGAUGAAGGCUUUCGGGUUGUAAACCUCUUUUCACAGGGAAGAAUAMUGACGGUACCUGUGGAAUAAGCUUCGGCUAACUACGUGCCAGCAGCCGCGGUAAUACGUAGGAAGCAAGCGUUAUCCGGAUUUAUUGGGCGUAAAGUGAGCGUAGGUGGUCUUUCAAGUUGGAUGUGAAAUUUCCCGGCUUAACCGGGACGUGUCAUUCAAUACUGUUGGACUAGAGUACAGCAGGAGAAAACGGAAUUCCCGGUGUAGUGGUAAAAUGCGUAGAUAUCGGGAGGAACACCAGAGGCGAAGGCGGUUUUCUAGGUUGUCACUGACACUGAGGCUCGAAAGCGUGGGGAGCGAACAGAAUUAGAUACUCUGGUAGUCCAYGCYGUAAACUAUGGACACUMGGUAUAGGGAGUGACSACCCUCUYKGUGCCGAAGCUAACGCUUUAAGUGUCCCGCCUGGGGAUUACUGUCGCAAGGCUAAAAYUCAAAGGAAUUGACGGGGGCCCGCCCAAGCAGC